RNAcentral lists this ribosomal RNA (253 nucleotides) under uncultured bacterium. Its description in RNAcentral is "partial 16S ribosomal RNA". It matches the Rfam family "Archaeal small subunit ribosomal RNA", at positions 474 to 727 of the family's 1478-position model. The record is from RNAcentral.
UACCCGCAGCCCAAGUGGUGGUCAUUAUUAUUGGGCCUAAAGCGUCCGUAGCUGGCGUGUUAGAUGCCUGGGUAAAUCGAUGCGCUCAACGCAUCGAAUUCCGGGUAGACCGGCACGCUCGAGACCGGGAGGGGCGUAGGGUACUCGGGGGGUAGGGGUAAAAUCCUGUAAUCCGCCGGGGACGACCAGUGGCGAAGGCGCUACGCUAGAACGGCUCUGACAGUGAGGGACGAAGCCCUGGGGCGCAAACCGG